Long non-coding RNA from Oncorhynchus tshawytscha (Chinook salmon), 272 nucleotides. The record is from Ensembl. NCBI's taxonomy places the organism in Eukaryota, Metazoa, Chordata, Actinopteri, Salmoniformes, Salmonidae.
AUGGACUGGUCUCUAUCCACUUCCUCGUAAAGAAACAGGUAGCGGUGAAAGGGGGGUUGGGAGUGGAGAUAUGGACUGGUCUCUAUCCACUUCCUCGUAAAGAAACAGGUAGCGGUGAAGGUUGGGGGGUUGGGAGUGGAGAUAUGGACUGGUCUCUAUCCACUUCCUCGUAAAGAAACAGGUAGCGGUGAAGGGGGGGGGGUUGGGAGUGGAGAUAUGGACUGGUCUCUAUCCACUUCCUCGUAAAGAAACAGGCAUACACGUGUCUUACU